GAAGGAGACCUUUGAAUGGAAAAUCCUUCCCUUGAUGGCUUGAAGCUCCAUCUUUCCUUCCUCCUCUCUUGAAGCUAGCAAGGUUGUUGGUUAGCCUUGCGGUGCUCUGAGGGUUAAGUGGUGGAGUGCCCCUCCUCGGGAUCAUCGCGGCAGUUGUCACAUUCUGUGGACCCUUCGGGUCUGGCCAUGACAUCAUAUAUAUUCAUUUUCAUGUUAAAUUACAGAAACAUUUCAUCUAGAAUUAGUCAAUUUCAUCAAUUAUCAAGAUGGCAUGGUAGCGCAAAGUUAGAGAACAUUAUAGAUCAUUGAUGUGUGUCUUUAGAAAAGGUAAAGAAAAAACAUUGUAUGUGACUGAUACUGCGUGGCAAAUAUGGAAUGAAGCAUGCAAUUCCUCGGAGUUUAAAGCUCGAAGCCUGAAAUUUUCUACAAAGAAUUUUAUUAAGGUUGAAGGACGUGGAUUUGGUAUAUCCCGGCACUUAGGAGGCACUAUUUCUCACAUAUGUCAUGCAAAGAAAUUGCGAUCGAGGCUUGGUCGUGACCCUCUUCCAAAUGAGCUUUUCGAAGCGACACUUACAAAGAAGGGAUCGUUAUUUGGACCUUAUGGAUCAAGCAUCUCAAACACAAGAAGAGAGUAAUAAGUCUUCAAUUUUAGACAAAGGAAAUAUAUUACUUCAGGUUUAUGGAGUAGGCUCCCAAGCAUCUAUUUUUAUCCCUAGCUAUCGCAAAGCUCAUCUACAGGAACAUCAUCCCAGGAGCUACAAAUUAAGAUUACACAGCUGUGUGAGACUAUUGAUCAGCUACAAGAUAAAAACAAAGAGCAUCAGGAGAGUUUGUACGAGAUGAGGGCGGACAAAGAUGAGUAUCAUGAUCAGAUGAUGUGUUGAACGUAGGAUAUGAUGAUAAACUUCGAGGCUAGGAUCCUUCAGUGCUCAUAGUUCACUCAGGACUCACAUCCAGCUAGUAAUUAUCAUGAUAUUGACCAUCUAUAUAAGUUGUAGUUUAUUUGUUAUUUGUUAGUAUUUUACUUUUGUUAAACUUCAU
Dioscorea cayenensis subsp. rotundata (Guinea yam) is the source of this 1041-nucleotide RNA transcript. RefSeq lists it as uncharacterized. NCBI's taxonomy places the organism in Eukaryota, Viridiplantae, Streptophyta, Magnoliopsida, Dioscoreales, Dioscoreaceae. The transcript has 5 exons. The record is from RefSeq and is a predicted model, not a curated record.